RNAcentral lists this ribosomal RNA (608 nucleotides) under uncultured Acidithiobacillus sp. RNAcentral describes it as "bacterial SSU rRNA". It matches the Rfam family "Bacterial small subunit ribosomal RNA", at positions 319 to 878 of the family's 1533-position model. Lineage: Bacteria; Pseudomonadati; Pseudomonadota; Acidithiobacillia; Acidithiobacillales; Acidithiobacillaceae. The record is from RNAcentral.
CCGUCAAUUUCUUUGAGUUUUUCUUCGAGGGGCCCCGGGUCCGUCCCGGCGCCCCCGCCCUCCUACGGGAGGCAGCAGUGGGGAAUUUUUCGCAAUGGGGGCAACCCUGACGAAGCAAUGCCGCGUGGAUGAAGAAGGCCUUCGGGUUGUAAAGUCCUUUCGUGGGGGACGAAAAGGUGGUUCCUAAUACGAGCUGCUGUUGACGUGAACCCAAGAAGAAGCACCGGCUAACUCCGUGCCAGCAGCCGCGGUAAUACGGGGGGUGCAAGCGUUAAUCGGAAUCACUGGGCGUAAAGGGUGCGUAGGCGGUACGUUAGGUCUGUCGUGAAAUCCCCGGGCUCAACCUGGGAAUGGCGGUAGAAACCGGCGAACUAGAGUAUGGGAGAGGGUGGUGGAAUUCCAGGUGUAGCGGUGAAAUGCGUAGAGAUCUGGAGGAACAUCAGUGGCGAAGGCGGCCACCUGGCCCAAUACUGACGCUGAGGCACGAAAGCGUGGGGAGCAAACAGGAUUAGAUACCCUGGUAGUCCACGCCCUAAACGAUGAAUACUAGAUGUUUGGUACCUAGCGUACUGAGUGUCGUAGCUAACGCGAUAAGUAUCCGCCUGAAG